UCCGUUGGUGAACCAGCGGAGGGAUCAUUACCGAGUUAUUCAACUCAUCAACCCUGUGAACAUACCUAAACGUUGCUUCGGCGGGAAUAGACGGCCCCGUGAAACGGGCCGCCCCCGCCAGAGGACCCUUAACUCUGUUUCUAUAAUGUUUCUUCUGAGUAAAACAAGCAAAUAAAUUAAAACUUUCAACAACGGAUCUCUUGGCUCUGGCAUCGAUGAAGAACGCAGCGAAAUGCGAUAAGUAAUGUGAAUUGCAGAAUUCAGUGAAUCAUCGAAUCUUUGAACGCACAUUGCGCCCGCCAGUAUUCUGGCGGGCAUGCCUGUUCGAGCGUCAUUACAACCCUCAGGCCCCCGGGCCUGGCGUUGGGGAUCGGCGGAGCCUCUCUGUGGGCACACGCCGUCCCCCAAAUACAGUGGCGGUCCCGCCGCAGCUUCCAUCGCGUAGUAGCUAACACCUCGCGACUGGAGAGCGGCGCGGCCACGCCGUAAAACACCCAACUCUUCUGAAGUUGACCUCGAAUCAGGUAGGAAUACCCGCUGAACUUAAGCAUAUCAAUA
RNAcentral lists this ribosomal RNA (558 nucleotides) under fungal sp. 1895C3. RNAcentral describes it as "eukaryotic LSU rRNA". The stretch from base 181 to 334 matches the Rfam family "5.8S ribosomal RNA". The record is from RNAcentral. Lineage: Eukaryota; Fungi.